This 279-nucleotide ribosomal RNA is filed under the name uncultured bacterium. Its description in RNAcentral is "partial 16S ribosomal RNA". It matches the Rfam family "Bacterial small subunit ribosomal RNA", at positions 506 to 784 of the family's 1533-position model. The record is from RNAcentral.
UGCCAGCAGCCGCGGUAAUACGGAGGGGGUUAGCGUUGUUCGGAAUUACUGGGCGUAAAGCGUACGUAGGCGGACUAGUUAGUCAGAGGUGAAAUCCCAGGGCUCAACCCUGGAACUGCCUUUGAUACUGCUAGUCUUGAGUUCGAGAGAGGUGAGUGGAACUCCAAGUGUAGAGGUGAAAUUCGUAGAUAUUUGGAGGAACACCAGUGGCGAAGGCAGCACUCUGGGCCGGUACUGACGCUGAGGAGCGAAAGCGUGGGGAGCGAACAGGAUUAGAUA